GGGUCUUUAGUGUAGCGGUUAACAUGUCCGCCUGUCACGCGGAAGAUCACGGGUUCGAAUCCCGUAAGACCCGCCA
This 76-nucleotide transfer RNA is filed under the name Patescibacteria group bacterium. RNAcentral describes it as "tRNA-Asp". It matches the Rfam family "tRNA". Rfam says of the family: Transfer RNA (tRNA) molecules are approximately 80 nucleotides in length. Their secondary structure includes four short double-helical elements and three loops (D, anti-codon, and T loops). The record is from RNAcentral. RNAcentral also lists the same sequence under 1 other name.